RNAcentral lists this unclassified non-coding RNA (4473 nucleotides) under Leishmania donovani. RNAcentral describes it as "gene:LdHU3.18.1930(CDS-product:kinesin_putative)". Lineage: Eukaryota; Euglenozoa; Kinetoplastea; Trypanosomatida; Trypanosomatidae. The record is from RNAcentral.
GUUUGAACUCACUGCCUUGUUUUCUGCUGCAUUGUCGUAAAGUGGGACUCCCCUCUCCUCGCCACCGUCUCUGCCUCGCCUUUUUCGGGAGAGACGCGUGCGUUUGUCACGUUUGGAGUGCUUGCUGUGUAUGCACGCAACAAUAUCGAGAACCAUCCUAGUACACCGGGUCUUGCAGUCUUCAUGUCGUUGCCUAGCAACGGCAACGACCACGGUAUCGCAAACGCGCCCACGGUGGCCAACGAUGCCGCCGCGGCCGGCGCGCACGCACCCCCGGCAAGCAUCGGCAACCAGACACCAAAGCUGAGGCUGUCAGCGCUCACAACCGUGGGACCAGAGGCAGAAGCAGCGAACGGCGCGCUGCGUAUCGCCGGUGGUGAUGUGCCGCAGCAGCUGCCCGCACGCGUGGCUUCCCCAACGGGGAGAGCGACGACGAUGACACCGCUUACAGCCGCCUCCUCCCCGCGUGGCCCUGCGGCGGCAACCGCAUCGUCACAGGAGAGCGUCAGCGUCAUUGUGCGCUUGAAGGGGGCCCCAAAGUUUUCCUCUUCAACGGCGCUGCUCUCUUACGCGGUGGAGGAUGGCACACUUGCGACGCCGCGGGUGUCCUGUCGCCCCUCCUCGCGGGACUGCGGAUCCGCCUCGCCGCGUUUGCACAGCCCGCGCGCAGCUCUCGGCUGCGGAAGCGCGGCAGAGCCGUCCGUCGCUCCGUCGACAUCCUUUCCCGGCGCUGACGGAGGCGCCGAUGUCGCCGCGGCUGCAUGUACGGAUGCCUCCGAAUCUCCUGUGUUGCCAGUAUCGCAGCCCAGAGCGUCUGCGUCUUUGUUGACGCAGACGUCGAAGCAGCAGCCCUUGACCCCUGCCUCUCCAACAAUGCACUCGUCACCGCGGCCGAGCCUCUUCGCGGCCGAGUCCCCGGCUACGCAUCACCACCAAGAGGACCGCAGCUCUGGUGCCAGCGUCGUGCUGGGUAGCGCCGCUGCGGCUGGCAGGAGCAUCGGCUCACACGGCCGCGUGCUCACCAUCACCUUUCCCAACACGAGGGAGCGCCGAAAGUAUGAGUUUGGCGAGGUACUGGAGCCCGAGGUGACGAACGCGGCCCUGUGCGAGCGCCUCAUCCCCUCCGUCAUGGAGCAGAUGGCGGCUGGCUUCGAUGUGUGCGUGCUGUGCUACGGCCAAACCGGGAGCGGCAAGACGUACACGAUGAACGCGCUGGCUCCAGCCGUUGCCGAGGAGGUCUUUCGCUCCCUCGACGUGAACAACGAGGUGGUGGAGAUGAGCUACAUACAGAUUUACAACAACAAAGCCUACAACCUGCUUGACGGUGCCCGCUCUGGCAGGCUUGGCGCCGAACUGUCACGUCCGCUGACGAGCAGCACCGGUACCGGCAACAGCGGUGGUAGCAGCUGCUUUGCCAGUGCCUCGGAGCCCAAGGUUCUGAUCCGGAGCAGUGCUGAGAUGCUCGCCAAGAUGAAGGCGGCGUCGCGACUGCGCGUGACGCAUGCGCACACCCUCAACGCCCGCAGCUCGCGUUCCUUCACCCUCCUCUCUCUCCACAUCACGCGCUUCCUCGACGGCGCGCCGCUCACGACGACGCGGGUGACACUCGCCGACCUCGCCGGGACGGAGAGACUGAAGAAGAGCGGUGCCACCGGGGAGGCGGCCGAUCAGGCCAUCUUCAUCAACAGGUCCUUGAUGGCGCUGCGCCAGCUGGUGGAGUCUCGCGGCACGGAAGCAGAGGUGCUGCACUUCCGCGAAUCGCUGCUUACCACAUAUCUCGCCCCGCGCAUGCGCAGCUGGCACCUCAUUCUUCUCGUUACUGUCUCCCUCGAGGCGGGCAGCUUCGAGGAGACCAAGUCGUCGCUGGAGUUUGCGACCAACGCGCGACGCCGCAAGGUCAUGAAGGUGAAGAGCGGGCUCGAGCAGAGAUUGCCGAGCACCGUCGCCCGCCUCUAUGGACGGCCCAGCUUCCUCGUUGCCGCCGGUGGCGUGGGCAGCGGCAGCGGCUGGAACGCGCGCGAAGACAACGCCGACAGCAGCGAGCUUCAAGAGAUCAUUGCGGUCCUUCAGUACCGCAUCCGCGUGCUGGAGGAGGCGCUGAAGAUAGAGCAGGAGCGAGGCGCCAUGACGGCUGUGCAGUCACCACUGACAGAGGUGCUUGCCAACCCCGGCUGUGCGGCGCCGGGGGCGGCGUUGGGUGCGGGUGUCACGCCGCUGGCUAACGCAGAGGCGCUGCGGCGGGAGUUCCAGUACUACCGUCAUCUGCUUCAGGAGCGAGAGCAGGAUCUGCGCCGUUUGCAAGCUCAACUGCCUGAAACGAGUGCUGAGGCUGGCUGCUCGCCACCAGUGCUGCCCGACUCACUGGAAACGUCGUCGCUAUCGUUGGACGAAGGCGACGCGGGCGCGAGAGACGAUCAGCAGGACUCCGCCACGCCACCAGCCUCGGCGCGGAGCAGCGACAGCUCUGGUGCACAGGUGCGCUCGGGUGAGGGGGGCGCUGCCGACGCGCACGUGCAGCUGCGGCGGUGCGUGCGCCAACUGCGCUCACUUCUCUCACGUGGUAGCAGCGAAGACAAGUGUGACGACGUGCUGGACCGCCUGCGCAACGCGGUGCUGCGUGCGACCGAACAGUACGAAGACGUCAACGAACAGCUGCUUGUCGUCUCUAGUUCACUGAGCGGGCUGCGUACACAAAAUCAUCGACUCUGCGAGGAGGUGCUGCGUGCCAACAAGCGCCUUUUAGCAAUCGAUGCGGAGUGCAGGGAGCGGUGCGCCGCCCUGCAGACGGCGACACUUCGAGCGACCACUGCGGAGACGGCUCUCGAGCAGUUGCGCCUGCAGCUAUUUCAGGCAUACGCCGAGCAGUCGAUACGGGAGGAGAUGACGCGCCUCUACCUGGAUGCGGCGCCGAUCGCCGCCAACGUCGAUGAGGCCGUGUCUGGCGACCGACAGACGGAGCAGCAGGUGGAGCUAGAGAAGGUGCAGGCGCACCAGCAAGUAUUGUGCGACAAGAUCACCGAGCUGGUGGACAACGUCGAGCAGCUGACGCUCGUCGUCGCGCAGAAGGAUGUGUCUCUGGCGGCGCUGGAGUCGCUCAUCACACCGGCGCAGCGAGCGCUCUUUCACACCCUGUCAAACACUUCCACUGCCAUCGCUGACCGCGGCACCACCAGCGUUGGUGGCAGUGAUGGCGGGCUUGCUGGCACGACCACGGCAGCCAUGGCCGCAGACGGCGGAAGCAGCGCCGCUGACUGUUUCAGUCUCUUGCAGUCACGCGUUUCGGAGCUCAGCUCCCUGCUUACGCAGGAGCAGCAGCAACAUCAGCUGGCCCAGUGCGAGCUCAUGGAGGCCCGCGAAGAUGCGCGGCGCAGUCGGCAGGAGCAGCGGCAGGCGUUCUUCCAACAGCAGGAGGAGGCGCGGCGCGUGGGCCAACUGAUGGCAGAGAACUACGAGCUGCGCCAACAGAACGAGCGCCAUCAGCUCUAUCUGCACCAUAUGUGCGUCAGCUUCCACGAAAAAUUACUGCAACUGCGACAUGGACACGAAGAGGAGAUGGCAGAACUGCGAAGCGCCGCGAAAGCGGCGCCAUCGCAUCCGCGCGGCAACGACGGUACGGCGAGACAGGGUUGCGAGGACGAGGACCACGACGAUGGGGCGUCGUCGGCCACCGCACAUGCCCUUGUGCGCGAUGAAAUGCCGCAGGGUGUGCCGUUGGGUGAGGAUCGGCUGCCUCAAAGCACUGUGCACGGCUCCGCUGCUGUCGCACUCUCGAUGGCGGGCGUGGUGGACAGUGGAGACGCGGGGUGGAGGGCAUCGGCGCCGAUACAGCGGUCCGGUCGAGUGCGGCAUCGGCUUACUAAGUCGAAUGCGCAACACCGCGGAGAAGGUCAGGACACGGCACCAACUACGACGGACCACGCGGUUGUGGCAGAUACUGCUGCCGUGUCGCCACAGCGCGUCCGGCUGCCGUCAAAGGUGGCGCGUCGUUCAGCGAGCAUCAGCAAGGCAAGGCGGCAUCUCUUCGCUACGUACGGUGAGCCAGCCGACCCCAAUGAUGCGCCGGUGCCUUUCGUCAAGUCAGACGUCGUCGCCUCUACCCCGACGGCAACGCGGCGCCGCGUUCGCGCGUCAGGAGAGGCGCACGGGAAGCGGCGCAAGUAGCCGCAACGGGAGUGUGAGGCACAUGUGCCUGUGUGCACGUAUGCGUGGGUGCGUGCGCGCUGGUGAGUGAUGCACCCGCACACACGCCUCAUGCGCACUUGCGUCCCCAUCAACGCACUCGUUGUGCGGUGUGUCUUCAUCUUUGCGCCUUUCUUUCGCCUCUCAUGUGUGCGCACAGACACAACGACGGAGUCACGGACACUCGCACCUCCGGUGCGAGUGCGGCGAUUUGUUACGUCGCGGCAUUUCUGUCUUCUCCCCUCCGUGCAGGGGGGUGCGUAGGCAUUGCUCCUGAUCGCUGAUGCUCGUUUU